AUCCAGUUGACGAGUCCCAAAUGGGACGAAACGUGCGUCCUGGAU
Molecule: non-coding RNA, 45 nt
Organism: Schistosoma curassoni
Lineage: Eukaryota; Metazoa; Platyhelminthes; Trematoda; Strigeidida; Schistosomatidae
Source: Rfam